CCCAUAUCAAUGCAUACACGUAAAAACAAAAACAGACCGUGUAUUUUUAAGCAUUUUGUACGUGUGUACGUGAACAUAGCGUCGUAGCCCUGGAAACGAGGAGGAUGCGUUAUUUAACGUCACCUGCUGACCUUCAGUUACUCUGUGAGCAGCCAGACACAGAGAGAGGAGUGCUGUGAGCUUUAAGCAGAGAAAACAGAGAGAAAGUUGAACAAAACCAGACAAAAGUCUUUACUAGAGACUUCUACAGGACAAGGACCAGAACCAGAACCAGGACCAGGACCAGACAGAGAAGAGACUUCAAACCUGUGAAGAAGUUUAGACCAGACGAGACCAUGGACCCACGCAUGGCGGAGGGAUUUUUCCCUGGCGGGGCUGGACUUCCGGAUUGGGUCCAGGGCUGGGCAGGACCUCUGGGUUGGGUCCCGGGCUGGGUCCCUGGUUGGGUCCCGGUCUUGGCAGGACCUCCGGUUUUGGUCUCGGACACGGCUGGACCCCCUCCUUUCGUCCCUGGCUGGGACGAAUUUCCAGAAGAACCAGAAGAACCAGAAGAGCAGGUAGUACCAGGAGACCAGGAAGUACCAGAUGACCGAAAAGCACCCGAAGACCCAGAAGCACCAGAAGACCCAGAAGCAGAAGAAGACCAGAAAGUACCAGAGGACCAUGAGCAGGACCUUCCUGAUGAAACUUUGUUUUCCUUCUACGAGGUGACUCCUGGCUGGGAGACCCCUGAGGACUUUGAUUCCUCAGAUUACAGUGACUUUGAGGAUGAAGGUUAAGUAUUCCACUUAGUCGCAGUGUCUCCAAGAAGAGGUGUUACUGUAGUGAUUCUACAGUCAGGCACGUAGACAGUUCUGAGGAACCUUCGUUGUCCGACUCUGACUGUCAGUGUGAGCCUGGGACAAAGAGGCCGAGACGGGACGACAGCUCUGACUCAUCUUAGAGUCAUCUGUGCUUUUCCUUUUCCUGCUCCUCUCCAUCUAUGAGCAGAGUUCCCUGUUUGUAUCCGGCUUCCACAGCUAGUCCUUGCGUCUGGCAGGAUUAGCUCAGCCUUUGGUUACAUUAACACCAACCAAGGCUGGUCUAUGUGUGUCUAUGUGUGUGUGUGUCCAGUGCGUCUUGUACCUGGGCUCUUUUGUAAAUAGGUGUUUUAGGUAAGUUGGCCUUUGCGUCUUGCGGGGCGUCUGAUGUCCCAGGCAGCGUCUGGUACCUGGACUUUUUAGAUGGUAAGGAUCUCAUUUUUUGUUUCUUUAUGACGGGCCACAGCUGGAGUGGUUGUCCUGUCACAUGCAUAAAAUAUUAGGUUUAGUUAAGUUAGAGUUAAGAAUUAGAGAUAACAUUUUUAAUCCAUGCAAGUGAAGACAGGAGGAGACCUCAGCAGAGAACAGAGACCAAAGAACCAAAACAACGUAAGGAAAAACACUGAACAAACAUUUCAUGUUAAAAUAGACGUCACUUUAUACUAAUGCCUGUAAAAUGUUAAUUGGACCAACGGUAUCCACUGAUGGAGGAAGAGGAGAAAGAUGGAGGACAGGAGCACCAGCCCAGCAUCCACAGCAGCCCACUGAAGAGUCCACCAAGCAGCCUGAGGAGGAGACAUCAGCAGAGGACAGAAAUAAUUUUAUUAUUAACCAAAACAAUCAAUGUAAGUAAAGCCUCUCAUUUACACAGAAAGACAUUAAACUAAUGUUUAAUGUAAAAAUAGACGUCACUUUAUACUAAUGCCUGUAAAAUGUUAAAUGGACCAACGGUAUCCACUGAUGGAGGAAGAGGAGAAAG
Gouania willdenowi (blunt-snouted clingfish) is the source of this 1779-nucleotide long non-coding RNA. NCBI's taxonomy places the organism in Eukaryota, Metazoa, Chordata, Actinopteri, Blenniiformes, Gobiesocidae. The record is from Ensembl.